This 683-nucleotide ribosomal RNA is filed under the name Salmonella enterica subsp. enterica serovar Muenchen. RNAcentral describes it as "partial 23S ribosomal RNA". It matches the Rfam family "Bacterial large subunit ribosomal RNA", at positions 2210 to 2899 of the family's 2925-position model. The record is from RNAcentral. Lineage: Bacteria; Pseudomonadati; Pseudomonadota; Gammaproteobacteria; Enterobacterales; Enterobacteriaceae.
CGUAUCGGAGUUCUAACCUGGUACCGUGAUCCGGUACGGGGACAGUGUCAGGUGGGCAGUUUGACUGGGGCGGUCGCCUCCUAAAGAGUAACGGAGGCGCCCCAAGGUUCCCUCAGAAUGGUUGGAAAUCAUUCGAAGAGUGCAAAGGCAAAAGGGAGCUUGACUGCGAGACUGACAAGUCGAGCAGGGACGAAAGUCGGGCUUAGUGAUCCGGUGGUACCGCAUGGAAGGGCCAUCGCUCAACGGAUAAAAGCUACCCUGGGGAUAACAGGCUUAUCUCCCCCAAGAGUCCACAUCGACGGGGAGGUUUGGCACCUCGAUGUCGGCUCAUCGCAUCCUGGGGCUGAAGUAGGUCCCAAGGGUUGGGCUGUUCGCCCAUUAAAGCGGUACGCGAGCUGGGUUCAGAACGUCGUGAGACAGUUCGGUCCCUAUCUGUCGUGGGCGUAGGAAAUUUGAGAGGAGCUGUCCUUAGUACGAGAGGACCGGGAUGGACGCACCGCUGGUGCACCAGUUGUUCCGCCAGGAGCACAGCUGGGUAGCUAAGUGCGGACGGGAUAAGCGCUGAAAGCAUCUAAGCGUGAAGCCCCCCUCAAGAUGAGAUUUCCCAAUUAGUAAGACCCCUUGAAGACGACGAGGUUGAUAGGCCUGAGGUGGAAGUGCAGCAAUGCAUGGAGCUGACAGGU